This 353-nucleotide long non-coding RNA is filed under the name Gallus gallus (chicken). Lineage: Eukaryota; Metazoa; Chordata; Aves; Galliformes; Phasianidae. The record is from RNAcentral.
GGGGUUCUGGACUCAUGCAGAAGAGUCUGGAGAUGUCCAAGGAGGAUCCAGGGAGUCCCCAGGCCUGCCUGCAGCCGGACCCGGUGACACCGGAGCCCUGUGGCGCUGUCACCAUCCUCUGUCCCGAGGACGGGAGGUGAACUCUGUGCCACCAGCAGAGGGGACCACGGGUGACAUCAGUGUGGAACAGCCGUGACGCGGCGGCGUUGUCAUUGGGUGUCACCGUCACGCAGAGGGGCCAAAAGGACCCCCCUGGGGGCAUUGCGUCGAAGUUGGGGACACCGUGAGCAGCUUGAGGACUUCCCAGGGGAAGUGGGGGCACCGCGUCACCGUGUCACACCCCAAAGUUGGGG